Molecule: ribosomal RNA, 347 nt
Filed under: uncultured bacterium
Lineage: Bacteria
Description: partial 16S ribosomal RNA
Rfam family: Bacterial small subunit ribosomal RNA
Source: RNAcentral
CCUACGGGCGGCAGCAGUGAGGAAUAUUGGUCAAUGGCCGUAAGGCUGAACCAGCCAAGUCGCGUGAAGGAAGAAGGAUCUAUGGUUUGUAAACUUCUUUUAUAGGGGAAUAAAGGGAUCCAAGUGUGGAUAUUUGCAUGUACCCUAUGAAUAAGCAUCGGCUAACUCCGUGCCAGCAGCCGCGGUAAUACGGAGGAUGCGAGCGUUAUCCGGAUUGAUUGGGGUUAAAGGGUGCGUAGGUUGUUUUUUAAGUCAGCGGUGAAAGUUUGUGGCUCAACCAUAAAAUUGCCGUUGAAACGGGCAGCCUUGAGUGUGUUUGCGGUAGGCUGCAUGCGUGGUGUAGCGGU